UCCGGUGGCGAUGCGCGUUUGGGAAACACCCGUCCUCAUCCCGAACACGAUGGUUAAGACUGAAGCGGCCGAUAAAACUAUACUGGUAACGGUAUGGGAAGGUAGGUGGCUGCCGGAU
This 118-nucleotide ribosomal RNA is filed under the name Agathobacter rectalis. Lineage: Bacteria; Bacillati; Bacillota; Clostridia; Lachnospirales; Lachnospiraceae. The record is from RNAcentral.